AGAGUUUGAUCCUGGCUCAGGACGAACGCUGGCGGCGUGCCUAAUACAUGCAAGUAGAACGCUGAAGGGAGGAGCUUGCUCUUCUUGGAUGAGUUGCGAACGGGUGAGUAACGCGUAGGUAACCUGCCUUGUAGCGGGGGAUAACUAUUGGAAACGAUAGCUAAUACCGCAUAACAAUGGAUGACACAUGUCAUUUAUUUGAAAGGGGCAAUUGUUCCACUACAAGAUGGACCUGCGUUGUAUUAGCUAGUAGGUGAGGUAAUGGCUCACCUAGGCGACGAUACAUAGCCGACCUGAGAGGGUGAUCGGCCACACUGGGACUGAGGCACGGCCCAGACUCCUACGGGAGGCAGCAGUAGGGAAUCUUCGGCAAUGGGGGCAACCCUGACCGAGCAACGCCGCGUGAGUGAAGAAGGUUUUCGGAUCGUAAAGCUCUGUUGUAAGUCAAGAACGGGUGUGAGAGUGGAAAGUUCACACUGUGACGGUAGCUUACCAGAAAGGGACGGCUAACUACGUGCCAGCAGCCGCGGUAAUACGUAGGUCCCGAGCGUUGUCCGGAUUUAUUGGGCGUAAAGCGAGCGCAGGCGGUUUGAUAAGUCUGAAGUUAGAGGCUGUGGCUCAACCAUAGUUCGCUUUGGAAACUGUCAAACUUGAGUGCAGAAGGGGAGAGUGGAAUUCCAUGUGUAGCGGUGAAAUGCGUAGAUAUAUGGAGGAACACCGGUGGCGAAAGCGGCUCUCUGGUCUGUAACUGACGCUGAGGCUCGAAAGCGUGGGGAGCGAACAGGAUUAGAUACCCUGGUAGUCCACGCCGUAAACGAUGAGUGCUAGGUGUUGGAUCCUUUCCGGGAUUCAGUGCCGCAGCUAACGCAUUAAGCACUCCGCCUGGGGAGUACGACCGCAAGGUUGAAACUCAAAGGAAUUGACGGGGGCCCGCACAAGCGGUGGAGCAUGUGGUUUAAUUCGAAGCAACGCGAAGAACCUUACCAGGUCUUGACAUCCCGAUGCUAUUUCUAGAGAUAGAAAGUUACUUCGGUACAUCGGUGACAGGUGGUGCAUGGUUGUCGUCAGCUCGUGUCGUGAGACGUUGGGUUAAGUCCCGCAACGAGCGCAACCCCUAUUGUUAGUUGCCAUCAUUCAGUUGGGCACUCUAGCGAGACUGCCGGUAAUAAACCGGAGGAAGGUGGGGAUGACGUCAAAUCAUCAUGCCCCUUAUGACCUGGGCUACACACGUGCUACAAUGGUUGGUACAACGAGUUGCGAGUCGGUGACGGCGAGCUAAUCUCUUAAAGCCAAUCUCAGUUCGGAUUGUAGGCUGCAACUCGCCUACAUGAAGUCGGAAUCGCUAGUAAUCGCGGAUCAGCACGCCGCGGUGAAUACGUUCCCGGGCCUUGUACACACCGCCCGUCACACCACGAGAGUUUGUAACACCCGAAGUCGGUGAGGUAACCUUUUGGAGCCAGCCGCCUAAGGUGGGACAGAUGAUUGGGGUGAAGUCGUAACAAGGUA
Molecule: ribosomal RNA, 1506 nt
Filed under: metagenome
Description: bacterial SSU rRNA
Rfam family: Bacterial small subunit ribosomal RNA
Source: RNAcentral